Molecule: ribosomal RNA, 506 nt
Filed under: uncultured bacterium
Lineage: Bacteria
Description: partial 16S ribosomal RNA
Rfam family: Bacterial small subunit ribosomal RNA
Source: RNAcentral
AUUGAACGCUGGCGGCAGGCCUAACACAUGCAAGUCGAACGGUAACAGGAAACAGCUUGCUGUUUCGUUGACGAGUGGCGGACGGGUGAGUAAUGUCUGGGAGACUGCCUGAUGGAGGGGGAUAACUACUGGAAACGGUAGCUAAUACCGCAUAACGUCGCAAGACCAAAGAGGGGGACCCUCGGGCCUCUUGCCAUCGGAUGUGCCCAGAUGGGAUUAGCUAGGAGGUGGGGUAACGGCUCACCUAGGCGACGAUCCCUAGCUGGUCUGAGAGGGUGACCAGCCACACUGGAACUGAGACACGGUCCAGACUCCUACGGGAGGCAGCAGUGGGGAAUAUUGCACAAUGGGCGCAAGCCUGAUGCAGCCAUGCCGCGUGUAUGAAGAAGGCCUUCGGGUUGUAAAGUACUUUCAGCGGGGAGGAAGGGAGUAAAGUUAAUACCUUUGCUCAUUGACGUUACCCGCAGAAGAAGCACCGGCUAACUCCGUGCCAGCAGCCGCGGUAA